This is a non-coding RNA of Heterocephalus glaber (naked mole-rat), 2108 nucleotides long. NCBI's taxonomy places the organism in Eukaryota, Metazoa, Chordata, Mammalia, Rodentia, Bathyergidae. The record is from RefSeq and is a predicted model, not a curated record.
GUCUCCAGGAGAUGAGGCUGUGGCGAGGGGAAGUGUGUGUGUGUGUGUGUGUGUGUAAAGGGGGGCGUGCCUGAGGGGCCUGGGCUCGGGGAAGGGUACAGAGAGGGAACUUGGAAAGCCCAGAGCCUGGGAAUGGAGGAGGUGGAAGGGCAGAGCUCUCUCCACCCCCUAGCCCAGUACUAGGAGAGAAGAAAGGACAGGGGACCCCAGGAGCUGGGGUUGGGGAGAGAGAGUGACCCUGAGGCAAGCGGACGCGACGCGAUAGGGAGCCCAAGAGAGGAAAAAAGGGACGAGCACGUCUGAAACUGAGGGUUAGGUAUUAGAAAAGGGCAAACAACAGCCAUGCUGAGAUGCCGCUCGCUGCUCGGAGAACCAAGUCUCAAAUUUUGCUUCAGUGGCCUUGGCAUUUAAUGCAUGAAUGGCGAAUGGCGUCUAUGCUAGCUUAGGCAAUGUGAUAUUUUCAGUAGCCCUGACCUCACCAGUGGCGCAGCCUUCUGGGCUGGCUGUUGGUUCCUAGCCGCAAGAACUCCUGCACCCACCAUUUGCCAGGUCACCAGGCCUGUACACUGUCCCGCGGGAGCUGGAGGGGUCACAGAAGCCUUUGGCUGACGGGGUGUUUUCACCUCCAGUUUCACCUCUUAUCUGUGCUCCAGGGAGGAGACUGAGGUCUGGAGUCUGAUGGGAGGCACGUGGGAGCAGACAGGUCUCUCAUCCUUUGGCCCAAUUUCUCCCCAGCCCCAAGCCUGCCUUCGGGGCUGGAAUCAGCAUGAAAGGAGAGUAAAAAGUGCGGAUUGUGCCCGAAGAUAGUUGGGUCUGCUGUAAGCUCUAAUGAUGAAGGCAUCGCCAAAAGGCCACUUAAUUUCUCAGUCACCACAGAGGAGGGAAUCUGACUUUCCUGAAACGAUUUUAAUUUUUAACUGUAGCUCCUAUGGAUCAGGCUGAAGCUAGAUUCCAGCCAAGACCACAUCCUUGCUCAGUUUCUUCCCUUGUCCUGUUCCACUUGGUCUGCUUUUCCUGAGAGGUCCACACAUUACUCCUACCUGAAUCCCUAUGUCAGUGACUUGGAGUGAGAUGGAUUGAACCAGAAAGAUUAUUCCAGAAGAAUUUUCCAAUCUUCAGCCUAGAGGCAAAUGUUUGGCUUCCAGAGUGCUGAAGGCUGGGCAUUUCAACAUUCAGUCCAGUUUAGCACAUAGAGCUUGUUGUUAGGGAUAGAAGAAGAAUGACUCAAGAUUCCCUAGGCUGACCUUGAUGGAUCUCUAAAGCAGUGUGAUGUCCUGGACCCUCUCAGGGCCAUUCCAGGCGGCUCCAUGAAAAAUAUUGCAUAUUGCACCUCCUGAGAGCCACCCUGAACUAAGACAGAGGAAAGCUGGCGGGAAAUGAUGCUGCUGCCUCACCCCCCAGAUGACAGUGCUGAAGCCAGCUCUUCAGUGAAUCAGAAUUCUCAGAGAACUGGAUCCCAGUUGUCUUCCUGCUGAGAUUACCGCUAAAUAGAGUGCUGCACCACAUCCAGGGUACAUUUUGGGGAAGCCAGCCUAAGUCUUGUCCCCAGUCUCCAAUCCAUUCUCCCCAGAGCAACUAGAAUAUUCUUAAAACGGCUCAAGCUUUGUACAGCCUCUGAAAUAUUUCUGAAGGGACAGGAAGAACAAUACCAGGAAAGAAAGAGGCCGACACUCACAGAAGAGAAGGCACUGGGGCUAUUUGGAAAGGACAUUGGACAUUGCAUGUAAUGGGUUGGACAGUAGACACAAAAAGGCCUGUCCAAGUCCUAAACUUCAGUACUUAUGAAAUUAUCUUAUUUGGAAAUAAAAUCUUUGCAGAUAAGAACCUAAACAAAAGAUCAUUCUGAAUUAAGAGGGGCCCUAAAUCCAAUGACAGUAGAUGCUAUUUAAGAGAUAGGAGAGGAGAAAAUACAGAGACACAUAGAGAAAAAGACCAUGUAAAGAUGGAGGCAGAAGUUGGGAGUGGAGGUUCAUACCUCUUGUUCCAGCUAUUUGGGAAAGUCACUUGAGCCUAGAAGUUCAAGACCAGCCUGUUCAACCUAGUGAAACCCCGUCUCAAAAAGAAGAUAGAGUUAGAGCUUGGAGUUAUGCUACCACAAGCCAAGGAAC